RNAcentral lists this non-coding RNA (793 nucleotides) under Faxonius propinquus. Lineage: Eukaryota; Metazoa; Arthropoda; Malacostraca; Decapoda; Cambaridae. The record is from RNAcentral.
AUAAAGUUUGGUUUUCGCUUUUGGACUUUGUUUUAUAGUUAUUUAAUAUAUGCAAAUUUUAGUGGUGUGUAUUUUACUAAAAGUAGAAUGGGAGGCAUGCAAUAUUUAAUAUUAACAAUAGGGUAAUUCUUGAGUUAGUAAACUAUAUUAAGUUUGAUAAAAUCUUGUGCCAGCAGUCGCGGUUAUACUUGGGAAUUAAAUGAAGUGUAUUAGUGGAAGUUAAUAAAUUAAUGUUAAAUAAAAGUUUAUAUUUAUAAAGAGUGAAAUUAGAUUAUAAAAUAUAAAAGUUUAUUUAGAGGUUAAAAUAAUGAAGCUUAAAAAAUUAAGGUAUGGAUUAGGAUUAGAUACCCUAGUACACUUAAAUUUAAUUAUUGAGCACUAGAAUAUUAGAAGUUAUAUUCUUUAAAUUUAAAAAAUUUGGCGGUAUUUUAGUCUAGUUAGAGGAACCUGUUUUAUAAACGAUACAACACGCAUUAUUUUACUUGUCUUAGUAUAUCAGUUUGUAUACCGUCAUUAUAAGAUAAUUUAUGAGAAAAUAUUAUUGAAAUCAUAUUAUUGAGUAUAUUAGAUCAAGGUGCAGCUUAUGGGUAAGUAAACAUGGGUUACAAUAAAAUUUAUUUAAUACGGAUUAAGUGUUUAAAUAUAUUUAUGAAGGAGGAUUUAAUUGUAAGGAGGGGGGCAGUGAGCUUUCCUGAUAAAAGCUCUGAAUUAUGUACAUAUCGCCCGUCGCUUUCAUUUAAGGUGAAAUAAGUCGUAACAUAGUAGAGGUACUGGAAAGUGUUUCUAGAAUUAU